AGAGUUUGAUCAUGGCUCAGAACGAACGCUGGCGGCGUGCUUAAGACAUGCAAGUCGAACGGUAAGGCCCCCUUCGGGGGGUACACGAGUGGCGCACGGGUGAGUAACACGUGGGUAAUCUACCUUCGGGUCUGGGACAACUCCGGGAAACUGGAGCUAAUACCGGAUGAGACCACGAGGUCCUCGGACUUCGCGGAAAAAGAUGGCCUCUCCUUGGAAGCUAUCGCCUGUAGAUGAGCCCGCGCCCCAUUAGCUAGUUGGUGAGGUAACGGCUCACCAAGGCAACGAUGGGUAGCUGGUCUGAGAGGACGACCAGCCACACUGGAACUGAGACACGGUCCAGACUCCUACGGGAGGCAGCAGUCGGGAAUUUUGGGCAAUGGGCGAAAGCCUGACCCAGCAACGCCGCGUGAGGGAUGAAGGCCCCCGGGUCGUAAACCUCUGUCGGGAGGGAAGAACGAUCGCAAGGUGAAUAAUCUUGGGGUCUGACGGUACCUCCAAAGGAAGCGCCGGCUAACUCCGUGCCAGCCGCCGCGGUAA
RNAcentral lists this ribosomal RNA (540 nucleotides) under uncultured bacterium. Its description in RNAcentral is "bacterial SSU rRNA". It matches the Rfam family "Bacterial small subunit ribosomal RNA", at positions 8 to 523 of the family's 1533-position model. The record is from RNAcentral.